UGAAGCAACUUAGCACGCACAAACAAGUGGUCCAUAUUUGUUUUCUUGUUUUGUAACUUCGGUUAAAUGAUGAGUAUUGUUUAACCUGUGAUCCUAUUGCAUUUUAAACCUCUUUGAUAUUUUUAUCAAACUCUUAGCUAAAGUUCUUUUAGCCUCCAGUUGACUCUGGGAUACUUCAAAGGAACAUCUCUGAAAGAUCUUGGAGAGGAAUAUUAAACUAAGUUUAUUUGGUAUGUUAAAUUACUUCAGAAAUAUUGUCAACUAAUUGAAGAUGAACCUUAGGUUAUAGUGCAUGGAUAAAUGUCAUUAAUAUAUUCCAAAAUUUAUAUGGAAUCCCUACCCUCUGAUAUGUCCUGAUAUAGUGUUAUUAAUCAUAAUUCUAGUUAUUAUCCUAAAAUGUUACAUCACAAAAAUAUCCAAGGUUCCUGCUAAUUGCAUUGUACUUAAAUCUUUAACCAUACUAUUUUAAGCUUUGUCCUUUAUAGACAAUAAUUAUUUUACACUGAUGCUUUUACAAAAUGAAGAUGUUUCAAGAAGACUCAUAAAAAGAACUUUUUAAACAAAAAUCUCUGAUAGCUUUAGAUGAUGCCAUUGAAGUGGGUAACAAGUGACAAAACUAAUGGAAUAUCUGAUUCUUUCAUCCAGAUGAACAGGAAUUAAUUACAUAGGACUGAAUGAAUGGUGAAUAGGAUUUAUAACUAUGACUUUUGUCAAUGGUACUAGCUGUAUUACUUAUCUUGUCUAUUUUAUAAUAUCGUGUCUAUUUUGUGAAAUUGUUGUCUUUUACAGUACCCAAUGUGCAACCGGGCCUCCAACAAAAUUGAUGAUGGCUAAACAUCUUGAGGAAAUUGAUUAUAUUUAUGACUCUUAUAAUUUUAAGUGUGAUUCCAGGGCCUACUCUGGAGCUUUGCACUUGGAGUGCACGUCAACAGGAACUUCUGCCUGAUCUGGGAUGAGCCUCCCUGUGCCCUGGGAUAAUAAUUGGUCAUGAAAUGUCUCCCAGAUAUUGGUCAAAUUCUGGUUCAAGAGAAGGAUCUGAGAAAUAAGAAUAUUUCCGGCCAUAUCAGUACACAAGGAUGUCACAGUCAUCAGCGACUUCAGUCCUGCAACAUGAGCCUGAGAAACUCAGGAAAGACAAGAAUACCUGCCAUCUAGCAACCAGCCUGCAGCCACUCCCUACAGUGAGCCCUGAGGAAACUCAGAAUGGGGAAACACUGCAUACGGCCCCAGCUAGGUGAGGUACAUAUCAAAGGAAUGAUUUCCAUGAGCCCCAAACUUCUUGCAUCUGCCCAUACAGAGAAAAGUGCUAAAUUCCUGAUCUUGAGAUAACUGGUUUUCUUUAAUUAACAAUCAUCUGGUUCUGACUACUGCCCUUUGUUAAAAAGUUCUGUGUAAUGUAGCUCCCCCUCAUGGCCCCCUUGGAGCAGUUCUCUGAGGGUUACUUUAGAUGCUGUCUCCUGGGCUUGAAAUCCUAAAAAUUCCCACCAAAUAAAACAUAACUCUCAACUUUAA
This is a long non-coding RNA of Odocoileus virginianus texanus, 1512 nucleotides long. RefSeq lists it as uncharacterized. NCBI's taxonomy places the organism in Eukaryota, Metazoa, Chordata, Mammalia, Artiodactyla, Cervidae. The record is from RefSeq and is a predicted model, not a curated record.